RNAcentral lists this ribosomal RNA (497 nucleotides) under uncultured bacterium. Its description in RNAcentral is "partial 16S ribosomal RNA". It matches the Rfam family "Bacterial small subunit ribosomal RNA", at positions 28 to 507 of the family's 1533-position model. The record is from RNAcentral.
GAUGAACGCUGGCGGCGUGCCUAAUACAUGCAAGUCGAGCGAACAGACGAGGAGCUUGCUCCUCUGACGUUAGCGGCGGACGGGUGAGUGACACGUGGAUAACCUACCUAUAAGACUGGGAUAACUUCGGGAAACCGGAGCUAAUACCGGAUAAUAUAUUGAACCGCAUGGUUCAAUAGUGAAAGACGGUUUUGCUGUCACUUAUAGAUGGAUCCGCGCCGCAUUAGCUAGUUGGUAAGGUAACGGCUUACCAAGGCAACGAUGCGUAGCCGACCUGAGAGGGUGAUCGGCCACACUGGAACUGAGACACGGUCCAGACUCCUACGGGAGGCAGCAGUAGGGAAUCUUCCGCAAUGGGCGAAAGCCUGACGGAGCAACGCCGCGUGAGUGAUGAAGGUCUUCGGAUCGUAAAACUCUGUUAUUAGGGAAGAACAAAUGUGUAAGUAACUAUGCACGUCUUGACGGUACCUAAUCAGAAAGCCACGGCUAACUACGUG